RNAcentral lists this transfer RNA (71 nucleotides) under Camelus dromedarius (Arabian camel). It matches the Rfam family "tRNA". Rfam says of the family: Transfer RNA (tRNA) molecules are approximately 80 nucleotides in length. Lineage: Eukaryota; Metazoa; Chordata; Mammalia; Artiodactyla; Camelidae. The record is from Rfam by way of RNAcentral. RNAcentral also lists the same sequence under 1 other name.
GAGGAUAUAGCUUAGUGGUAUAGUGUGUGCUUAGCUCGCGCAAGGUCCUGGGUUCAAUCCCCAGUACCUCU